GAUGAACGCUGGCGGCGUGCCUAAUACAUGCAAGUCGAGCGAACAGACGAGGAGCUUGUUCCUCUGCCGUUAGCGGCGGACGGGUGAGUAACACGUGGAUAACCUACCUAUAAGACUGGGAUAACUUCGGGAAACAGGAGAUAAUAACGGAUAAUAUAUUGAACCGCAUGGUUCAAUAGUGAAAGACGGUUUUGCUGUCACUUAUAGAUGGAUCCGCGCCGCAUUAGCUAGUUGGUAAGGUAACGGCUUACCAAGGCAACGAUGCGUAGCCGACCUGAGAGGGUGAUCGGCCACACUGGAACUGAGACACGGUCCAGACUCCUACGGGAGGCAGCAGUAGGGAAUCUUCCGCAAUGGGCGAAAGCCUGACGGAGCAACGCCGCGUGAGUGAUGAAGGUCUUCGGAUCGUAAAGCUCUUUUAUUAGGGAAGAACAAAUGUAUAAGUAACUAUGCACGUCUUGACGGUACCUAAUCAGAAAGCCACGGCUAACUACGUG
Molecule: ribosomal RNA, 497 nt
Filed under: uncultured bacterium
Lineage: Bacteria
Description: partial 16S ribosomal RNA
Rfam family: Bacterial small subunit ribosomal RNA
Source: RNAcentral